This is a non-coding RNA of Podarcis lilfordi (Lilford's wall lizard), 75 nucleotides long. NCBI's taxonomy places the organism in Eukaryota, Metazoa, Chordata, Lepidosauria, Squamata, Lacertidae. The record is from the annotation of a GenBank genome assembly.
GCUGGGAUAGCUCGGUCAGUAAAGAGCAUGGACUCCUUAACCUCAGGGUUGUGGGUUCAAGCCCCAUGUCGGGCA